Non-coding RNA from Phascolarctos cinereus (koala), 439 nucleotides. NCBI's taxonomy places the organism in Eukaryota, Metazoa, Chordata, Mammalia, Diprotodontia, Phascolarctidae. The record is from RefSeq and is a predicted model, not a curated record.
AAGAGGAAAGUGACACCAGAGCUCCAGGCACUCCCUUUACAAGCCCCCCUCCACCUCCUUGUUCAUUAGCCUUCAUUAAGGGGCUUGCCAAAGGCCCCUCGAUGCCCCCUCCCUGGCGGGGUCACUGCUCCGUUAUGUGACUCCUCAUGUGGAUCUUGGAGUGAUGGCAGUUUUUCAACAUUAUCAAUAUGCGGAGAUCCAGUUGCUAGACAUUUACCAGCCCUUCCUACAAAUAACUGAAGAGGUUGAACAAGUUUAACUACUUACUAAAUGACGUACUCAGGCUCCUAGCUCCCAGACAAUACAGUACCUGUCCAAUGGACCACACAAGAUCUCCCACCAUUCUCCAAGGAAACACAGAACCACUACAUAAGAUUUUGAUUGGCUCUCUUCCUAUCUCAAUGCCUUUGUGUGGGCUGUCCCACUUGUCUGGAAUGUU